GAUGAACGCUGGCGGCGUGCCUAAUACAUGCAAGUCGAGCGAACAGACGAGGAGCUUGCUCCUCUGACGUUAGCGGCGGACGGGUGAGUAACACGUGGAUAACCUACCUAUAAGACUGGGAUAACUUCGGGAAACCGGAGCUAAUACCGGAUAAUAUAUUGAACCGCAUGGUUCAAUAGUGAAAGACGGUUUUGCUGUCACUUAUAGAUGGAUCCGCGCCGCAUUAGCUAGUUGGUAAGGUAACGGCUUACCAAGGCAACGAUGCGUAGCCGACCUGAGAGGGGGACCGGCAACAUGGGAACUGAGCACCGGCCAAGACCCUAACGGAGGCAGCAGUAGGGAAUCUUCCGCAAUGGGCGAAAGCCUGACGGAGCAACGCCGCGUGAGUGAUGAAGGUCUUCGGAUCGUAAAACUCUGUUAUUAGGGAAGAACAAAUGUGUAAGUAACUAUGCACGUCUUGACGGUACCUAAUCAGAAAGCCACGGCUAACUACGUG
This 496-nucleotide ribosomal RNA is filed under the name uncultured bacterium. RNAcentral's name for it is "partial 16S ribosomal RNA". It matches the Rfam family "Bacterial small subunit ribosomal RNA", at positions 28 to 507 of the family's 1533-position model. The record is from RNAcentral.